UAAGUGCAUCCCACACAUAUAUACACACACCCCACAUCUUUUCUAUCCACUCGUCUGUCAGUGGGUCUAGGUGGCUUCCAUGUCCUGGCUCUUGUGAACAGUGCUGCAGUGAACGUUGGGGUGCCUGUGUCCUUUUGAAUCGUGGUUUCUCAGGGUGUGUGCCCAGGAGUGGGAUUGCUGGGUUGUAUGGCAGUUCUACUUUCAGCUUUUUUAGGAACCUCCGUACUUCCCCACAGUGGCUGAAUCAACUUACAUUCCCACCAACAGAGCCCGGGAGUUAGUUCCCUUGUCCUUGCACCCUUUCCAGCACUUGUUUGUAGGCUGUUUCGGCGAUGGCCGUCCUGAGCUUGUGAGGCGCCUCACUGUAGUUCGGUUUGCAUUCCUCUGACAGCUAGUGGUGCUGGACAUCUUUUCAUGUGCCCCUGGGGCAUCUGUCUGUCUUCUUUGGGGAAAUGUCUGUUUACGUCUUGGGUCCAUUUUUUGAUUGGGCUGUUUACUGCAGGGAGAUCACCUGCUCAUUUUAGUGAUGGAGAAGCUGAAGCUGAGAAAUCUGCCCAAACCUCAGCAGUGAGAGGGAUGGGGCUGCCGCUGGAACGGGCCUCUCAGGUCCCACCCCUGUGUUCACCACCCCGUGAGCUGUCUGCUGUGAAGACGCACAUCCAGGAGCACACACAGAAGGACCUGCAAGGCACCUUCAGAGACAGAGGAGAUGUGUCUGGUCCAGGUUGGUCUUCAGAGGCACAGCUGCCCAGAUGACAUUUUGAGGUCCCUUCCGGAACUGAUCUACGGUUCCAGUAACAAGAAGAUCCACCAUGAGACUCUGCUUUCAGGCAUCACGUCUGUAAUUGGCUACUGGAGAAGCUUCUCUGGCCGUGUAGGCCACGAGGGGGAGAUGCAGCGUUCCCCCCGAGCGUGGAGCGGCCCUUGGCGUUGCCGCUCCAGCGGCCACUAGCCUUUGACGAUCAUUNNNNNNNNNNNNNNNNNNNNNNNNNNNNNNNNNNNNNNNNNGGGGGGGGGGGGGGGGGGGGGGGGGACGGACCGUGCAGGCCGCGUCAAGGUUAGCCUCGACGUGUGGCUGGGGGGGCCAGGGCCCCUGGGAGCAUCUUCAAAGACCCUGUCCUCGGAGAGCCCAGUUCAGAAGUCAGAUUCCCCUGAGGCCCACAGAGACAGGGUUCUGGCACGAAUGUGCUUUACUUCCAAGGGUAGCGUUUAGUCGCUAAGCUGUGUCCAACUCUGCAACCACAUGGAUGGUACCCGCCAGGCUCCUCCGUCCGUGAAAUUCUCCAGGCAAGCAUACUGGACUGGGUUGUCAUUUCCUUCCCAGACCAGGGAUUGAACCCUCAUCUCCUGCAUUGGCAGGUGGAUUCUCUACCACCGAGUGACCUGCAAAUCCCCAAAAGAUGUGUGUACCUCCCCAGAUAAGAGGCUUGGCAUUUUGGAGGGCAGGGAGGGAGGGUUCUGCAGCGAGCCCCAAAGGGAAAUGCUUAGACUCUGAGUUUUCCCGAGGGCUGCAGCAGCCUUGACCAUGAGCUCUGGCAUCUGCCCCUGGCUCCAAGGACCGGCUUGGGGAAGGUGCCUCCAGCAAAUCCUUGAUUUCCCCUCCUUUAGACAACCUUUCCAGUCCAGCUUUCUCAGGGCAGUGCACACACACAUACCCAUUGGACCUCUCUGGCGGUCCAGUAGUUGAGAAUCCGCCUGCCAGCCUGCAGGGGACACCGGUUCAAUCACUGGAUCGGGAAGAUUUCACAUGCUGUGGAUCAACUAAGCCUGAGCACCACAGCUGCUGGUGCACGCACACCCUAGAGUCCAUGCUCUGCCACGGGAAGGGCCGGUGGAGUGAGAAGCUCACGCCCUGCCACCAGAGAGUAGCUCCGGCUCACCGUAACGAGAGAAAGUCCACCCACAGCACUGAAGGCCCAGGGCCGCCAAGACNNNNNNNNNNNNNNNNNNNNNCCAGUCACGGCGUGCCCAACAACCACCUGGUCUGCAAGCCCCCUCCGCUGCUUCUCUAUUGCUCCCUGCUUGGUUUUCCACAAAUACUAAGUGUGCUAAGACAUACAAGGGAAUUCCGUGGCAGUUCGGUGGUUAGGACUCAGAGCUUUCACUGCCAUGAAAUACACACAGUGAAACGAUACUGUCAUUACUGACUCUCUCGCCCCCGCCCCGAUUCAGUCACCCUCAGCUGCACAGAUCUCUCACAUUCCUUUCCUCCUGCUCCCAUGACCAUCGUCUCCCACCAAACCCCCAUCACUGCAAUAGGAGUGAACACUGCUAUAGACCGGAUUAUCACAGGCUAGGCAUUGUUCUUCUGCAUUUUAACACUC
RNAcentral lists this long non-coding RNA (2324 nucleotides) under Capra hircus (goat). RNAcentral's name for it is "lncRNA (ENSCHIG00010002772.1)". The stretch from base 815 to 1043 matches the Rfam family "Small nucleolar RNA U3". The record is from RNAcentral. Lineage: Eukaryota; Metazoa; Chordata; Mammalia; Artiodactyla; Bovidae.